Molecule: ribosomal RNA, 406 nt
Filed under: uncultured bacterium
Lineage: Bacteria
Description: partial 16S ribosomal RNA
Rfam family: Bacterial small subunit ribosomal RNA
Source: RNAcentral
AUUGAACGCUGGCGGCAUGCUUUACACAUGCAAGUCGGACGAGUGGCGAACGGGUGAGUAACGCAUCGGAACGUCCCGAGGGAUGGGGGAUAACUGUCCGAAAGGACAGCUAAUACCGCAUAGUAUUCAAGAGGCCGAAGUCUGAUUAGCUGGUUGGCGGGGUAAAGGCCCACCAAGGCGACGAUCCGUAGCGGGUCUGAGAGGAUGAUCCGUCACCCUGGGACUGAGACACGGCCCAGACUCCGACGGGAGGCAUCAGUGGGGAAUGUUGGAAAAUGGGCGCAAGCCUGAUCCAGCCAUGCCGCGUGUCUGAAGAAGGCCUUCGGGUUGGAAAGGACUUUUGUCAGGGAAGCGGUACCUGAAGAAUAAGCACCGGCUAACUACGUGCCAGCAGCCGCGGUAAUAC